This 68-nucleotide small RNA is filed under the name Sinorhizobium meliloti 2011. RNAcentral describes it as "putative ncRNA". Lineage: Bacteria; Pseudomonadati; Pseudomonadota; Alphaproteobacteria; Hyphomicrobiales; Rhizobiaceae. The record is from RNAcentral.
AACUCCGGACCGCUGGACUCGGCCCGCUGAGGCGCGGGAGGCGGCGGAUUACUCCGCCGCCUCCUCCU